CAAAAAUAGAAAAAAUAUCAUAGCAGAUCCUUAAAUUUGUCUAUGAAAUAUUAAUAUCAAAAUUAAGAUUUAAGUUCGACGAAUUGAAAAUAUAACGAAAUGGUGAUAUAUAUACUAAAAGUAAGGCAAAGGAUACCAAAGAAAGAUUUUAAAUCAUAAGUCGAAAAUAAACUGACAUUGUCAUGGUUAAAAAAAAAGAUAAACAGACAAACAACUCUAAACAAAACAACAUAUAAAACCAAAAACUAAGCAACACGAACGCAAUCAAAAGCUGAGUGUAAUCUCGAUUGUUCCAGAAAGGCAAGUAGAUUCCUUUGUCAUCAAUAAUAUGUGUUUCUUCUUUAUAACAAAUGUAUUGAUAGUCACGAAAUGAAAAUCGAAAAUACGUCUCCAUCUUGGUAACC
This 404-nucleotide long non-coding RNA is filed under the name Mytilus galloprovincialis (Mediterranean mussel). The record is from RNAcentral. Lineage: Eukaryota; Metazoa; Mollusca; Bivalvia; Mytilida; Mytilidae.